This is a long non-coding RNA of Carica papaya (papaya), 579 nucleotides long. RefSeq lists it as uncharacterized. NCBI's taxonomy places the organism in Eukaryota, Viridiplantae, Streptophyta, Magnoliopsida, Brassicales, Caricaceae. The record is from RefSeq and is a predicted model, not a curated record.
AAGAACUUAACCGAAGUCACUUCAGAGCCGAAGUUCUCUCCUUCCUUUUUCCUCCUCUCUUGAUCACCAACGGUAGGCAGCCGCAGCAGGCCAGCAGCGCCUGUCGAUUAGAUGAUCAUCAAUUCAUGUCUCUCGCCCAGUCAAUUGCCAGCCUCACGAUGCCUGUCAAGCACGCACAGCACCUGAACAGUGAGAUUUGGCAUCACCUCCACUUUGUAUUCCCAAGAGGCGGCCAAUAGGAACUUUCCAUACUUCUCGCCUCGUAAGAAUUGAAUUCCGGUCUCCACCUCAAAGUACGAAUUAAAUUCUCAUUACUUAGUUACAAGGUGAUAGUUAUGAGUAACUAAAACGCACAAAAAAUUGUAACAAUCCAUAUGCUAAUAGAAAAUCUGGAACUGGUUAUCAAAUAGAAAAUGAAUUGAACAGAUAGUAACUGCUGUUUGAUAAGAACAUAGGUUUCGGUCUUCCUCAGAUGUAAGUGUCUGCCAGAUUGCUGUAUGUGUUCCUUCUCAAAGAUGGACACUCAGCUGUGACUUAUUUGUACGUCUUUUUAUGUAUGUCAAGUUUUUGUUGCAUGAA